This 377-nucleotide unclassified non-coding RNA is filed under the name Hevea brasiliensis (rubber tree). The record is from RNAcentral. Lineage: Eukaryota; Viridiplantae; Streptophyta; Magnoliopsida; Malpighiales; Euphorbiaceae.
UCACUCAAAAUGCUUACCAAGCAUCACAGCCACAGGCAGUGUCAUUCCCUCCACAGAAUAAUGCUGCACCGGGAUAUAACAUGCCAUCUUCGCCAUAUAAACCCGCAGCUCAGGCAACAAUGGCCGCACCAGGGAUUCCGGUGAUGACACAGGAAGGGCAGGUUUACAAUGAGGGCUGGAGGACUGGGCUAUUUGAUUGCAUGGAAGAUCCAAUGAACGCUGUGACAACAGCGUGCUUCCCAUGCAUCACAUUUGGCCAAGUUGCAGAAAUUAUUGACAAUGGCCACGCCUCAUGUGGGACGAGUGGACUGUUGUAUGGUUUGAUCGCGGCCUUCAUAGGGUUGCCAUGCAUAUUGUCAUGCAGCUAUCGAACGAAG